This 129-nucleotide non-coding RNA is filed under the name Paenibacillus antarcticus. RNAcentral's name for it is "SAM-I sequence". It matches the Rfam family "SAM riboswitch aptamer (S box leader)". Rfam says of the family: The SAM riboswitch is found upstream of a number of genes which code for proteins involved in methionine or cysteine biosynthesis in Gram-positive bacteria. The SAM riboswitch acts at the level of transcription termination control. Lineage: Bacteria; Bacillati; Bacillota; Bacilli; Caryophanales; Paenibacillaceae. The record is from Rfam by way of RNAcentral.
AUCUUAUCAAGAGCAGGUGGAGGGACAGGCCCGAUGAAACCCGGCAACCGGCGUUUAAUAAACGUACGGUGCUAAUUCUUGCAGGAAGAUUUGUCGAAUUGUUGGCAAAUCCUUCUUGAGAGAUGAGAG